CCUACGGGGGGCAGCAGCGGGGAAUAUUGCACAAUGGGCGCAAGCCUGAUGCAGCCAUGCCGCGUGUGUGAAGAAGGCCUUCGGGUUGUAAAGCACUUUCAGCGGGGAGGAAGGCGGUGAGGUUAAUAACCUCAUCGAUUGACGUUACCCGCAGAAGAAGCACCGGCUAACUCCGUGCCAGCAGCCGCGGUAAUACGGAGGGUGCAAGCGUUAAUCGGAAUUACUGGGCGUAAAGCGCACGCAGGCGGUCUGUCAAGUCGGAUGUGAAAUCCCCGGGCUCAACCUGGGAACUGCAUUCGAAACUGGCAGGCUAGAGUCUUGUAGAGGGGGGUAGAAUUCCAGGUGUAGCGGUGAAAUGCGUAGAGAUCUGGAGGAAUACCGGUGGCGAAGGCGGCCCCCUGGACAAAGACUGACGCUCAGGUGCGAAAGCGUGGGGAGCAAACAGGAUUAGAUACCCCAGUAGUC
RNAcentral lists this ribosomal RNA (465 nucleotides) under uncultured Klebsiella sp. RNAcentral's name for it is "bacterial SSU rRNA". It matches the Rfam family "Bacterial small subunit ribosomal RNA", at positions 338 to 795 of the family's 1533-position model. The record is from RNAcentral. Lineage: Bacteria; Pseudomonadati; Pseudomonadota; Gammaproteobacteria; Enterobacterales; Enterobacteriaceae.